Molecule: unclassified non-coding RNA, 192 nt
Filed under: uncultured Pezizaceae
Lineage: Eukaryota; Fungi; Ascomycota; Pezizomycetes; Pezizales; Pezizaceae
Description: sequence contains ITS2
Source: RNAcentral
AGAAACCCUCAGACAAGGCUUUAAUGCCAUGUCUGGAUUUUGUCAGAGUGGCAGCGGACUUGAGGUCAUUUUGCCCUUUGUAAAACCAUGGAUAUUUUGAAGAUUUGUUUCAUUCCAACGUGAUAGAAUAUUUCAAUCGUUGGUAUCACAAUCAUCAGAUGUUUCCAAAGCAACCCACAAAAUUCUUUAGAU